RNAcentral lists this ribosomal RNA (506 nucleotides) under uncultured bacterium. RNAcentral's name for it is "partial 16S ribosomal RNA". It matches the Rfam family "Bacterial small subunit ribosomal RNA", at positions 30 to 523 of the family's 1533-position model. The record is from RNAcentral.
AUUGAACGCUGACGGCAGGCCUAACACAUGCAAGUCGAACGGCAGCGGGGGAUAGCUUGCUAUCCUGCCGGCGAGUGGCGGACGGGUGAGUAAUGCAUGGGGAGCUGCCCAGUCGAGGGGGAUAACAACUGGAAACGGUUGCUAAUACCGCAUACGCCCUAAGGGGGAAAGGUGGGGAACUUCGGUCCUACCGCGAUUGGAUGCGCCCAUGUGGGAUUAGCUAGUUGGUGAGGUAACGGCUCACCAAGGCGACGAUCUCUAGCUGGUCUGAGAGGAUGACCAGCCACACUGGAACUGAGACACGGUCCAGACUCCUACGGGAGGCAGCAGUGGGGAAUAUUGCACAAUGGGGGAAACCCUGAUGCAGCCAUGCCGCGUGUGUGAAGAAGGCCUUCGGGUUGUAAAGCACUUUCAGUCAGGAGGAAGGUGGUAAGGCUAAUAUCCUUAUCAAUUGACGUUACUGACAGAAGAAGCACCGGCUAACUCCGUGCCAGCCGCCGCGGUAA